GCAAUCCUCUAUAAAUAACAACAAAAGAAAACGAUCUUAAACAGGUUAAAAUGAGGAUGCCGAUGAAACGUUCACUUUCAUUACAUUUUUUGUGUAUAAAAUUGAUUAUGAUCGUUGCCAUCAUCACUUCUGGUGUCUAUCUUAAUUCUCUUUUGAUGACAAAAAGCAAUAGUGUUGGCGAACACUCAAUUGCCCCUCCAAAAUGUACCAAACAACAUUGGAAAAGUAAGAAAUUCAGCGGGGAUUGCGAUACACGUUCACCUUCAAUUGGAUUAAAAUGUUAUGAUACCUGUAGAAGUGAAGGUGCAGAAACAGGAAGAUGUUUGGUUGCCGGAUGGUGUAAUUGUUACUACACAUAUUAACAUAUUAACGGGUUAAACAAUAUUAGAUAUUUUACUUAUGAUUUGAAUAAGUUGUUAACAUAUUAACGGGUUAAACAAUAUUAGAUAUUUUAAAAUACAAGUUUUACAUGUGGUAUAAUAUGAGAUUAUAUUCUUAUCUA
Helianthus annuus (common sunflower) is the source of this 502-nucleotide long non-coding RNA. RefSeq lists it as uncharacterized. The record is from RefSeq and is a predicted model, not a curated record. The transcript is spliced from 2 exons. NCBI's taxonomy places the organism in Eukaryota, Viridiplantae, Streptophyta, Magnoliopsida, Asterales, Asteraceae.